Molecule: ribosomal RNA, 497 nt
Filed under: uncultured bacterium
Lineage: Bacteria
Description: partial 16S ribosomal RNA
Rfam family: Bacterial small subunit ribosomal RNA
Source: RNAcentral
GAUGAACGCUGGCGGCGUGCCUAAUACAUGCAAGUCGAACGCUGAAGGAAGGAGCUUGCUCUUUCCGGAUGAGUUGCGAACGGGUGAGUAACGCGUAGGUAACCUGCCUGGUAGCGGGGGAUAACUAUUGGAAACGAUAGCUAAUACCGCAUAACAGUAGAUGUUGCAUGAUAUCUACUUAAAAGGUGCAAUUGCACCACUACCAGAUGGACCUGCGUUGUAUUAGCUAGUUGGUGAGGUAACGGCUCACCAAGGCGACGAUACAUAGCCGACCUGAGAGGGUGAUCGGCCACACUGGGACUGAGACACGGCCCAGACUCCUACGGGAGGCAGCAGUAGGGAAUCUUCGGCAAUGGACGGAAGUCUGACCGAGAAACGCCGCGUGAGUGAAGAAGGUUUUCGGAUCGUAAAGCUCUGUUGUAAGAGAAGAAAGAGUGUGAGAGUGGAAAGUUCACACUGUGACGGUAUCUUACCAGAAAGGGACGGCUAACUACGUG